CGCUGCUCGUGGUGUGCUGUGAAUUGAAUUGCCAUUAACCUCUGCACUGUUAACUGCUGCUCGUUUGUCUUAAUUACACACACAGGAGAUGAUGGUGCCUUACAGAACUGUACACUGUGGUGACAGAGCAUGGGGCUGAUGUGCAUUCCACCUGGCUUGAAACCAGAGGGAAAAGGUGAUUCCCUUCUGAAAUAAAAUCAAGCCCUUUAAAAGCAGAGGGGACUAGAAAGCUCUGAGAGUGACCAAGCUGUCUGGCUUUGGCAGAAAAUUUUGUCCUGAACCAAAGGAGAAACUUCAUCAAGAAUUUUAAUCAUCCCCACCAGCAGUGGAGCAUUUGCUGGAAAGAUGGUGCUCCAUAAGAACAUUAUGUGCUUUGUCAGGUCUUGGUUGUUUAAUUUUAACAUUUUAUUAUUCAGAUUCUCCCUUCUUCUGCCUUUAGGGUGAUGUACUGUGAAGGCUGCAUGAUAUGAAGAUGGAGGGAGAGAAACUUCUGUCUGACUGAAUAUGACAGAGAGUUUAAAUAUUCAUAGCAGGCUUGGAAUGGAGAUGUAUGACUGGGUAUGGCUCGUGCACAGGCAAAGCUGGUUCAAAAAACUCCAGAGACUGUACUGGUGCUGUGUGUGGCAGUCUCCUUACAUAAAGGCAUUCCUGAUGUGCUCCUUGUGUGAGGGGAGAGGAGCCAGGAGCUGAGAUGGCCUCAAGUGGGAUGUGCAUUCCCCAACAUGGUCCCCCAAGGACCAAGAAGAGGGACAGAUGAUUGUGGCACCAUGUUGCAGUCCCAAACACAGCAACAUCAACGAG
Molecule: long non-coding RNA, 801 nt
Filed under: Cyanistes caeruleus (blue tit)
Lineage: Eukaryota; Metazoa; Chordata; Aves; Passeriformes; Paridae
Description: lncRNA (ENSCCEG00000014990.1)
Source: RNAcentral